Esox lucius (northern pike) is the source of this 803-nucleotide long non-coding RNA. The record is from Ensembl. NCBI's taxonomy places the organism in Eukaryota, Metazoa, Chordata, Actinopteri, Esociformes, Esocidae.
GUUUGGUUAGGUAGAUUCCAGACUGUCUGGGCUGGGCCAAUAAGGUUUGGUUAGGUAGAUUCCAGACUGUCUGGGUUGGGCCAAUAAGGUUUGGUUAGGUAGAUUCCAGACUGUCUGGGUUGGACCAAUAAGGUUUGGUUAGGUAGAUUCCAGACUGUCUGAGCUGGGCCAAUAAGAUUUGGUUAGGUAGAUUCAAGACUGUCAGGGAUGGGCCAAUGAGGUUUGGUUAGGUAGAUUCCAGACUGUCUGGGCUGGGCCAAUAAGGUUUGGUUAGGUAGGCCUGAGGUAUAAUUCAGACUAGCGGACUGGGCCUCAUAUUGGACCCAAAACAUUCCUGUACAUGUAUAUUAGGUGCUGUAUUUAAUUGCUGGAAUGUUUUGUGUAUGUCUUGUUUUGUCUUUAUUGGGGUGUAAUUGAAUAUUUUAUGUGUAGGCACACGAAAACCCGAGAUUUGAGAUGAAGUAGGUAUGACCGUUAAAAUGAUCACUUACCUGGGCAAAGAUAUAUGCAUAAAUAGAAACAAUUAUACUGAGUAAAUGUAAUAAAUGUGUUUUUUCCUUUGAUCUUAAGUUUAAUUUUUCGCUGCUGGCCGGGCACUGUAUUAAAUUAUUUGUCAAAUUCAACUGAUUCAUGUUCCAGGUUAAAUAGAACAACUGAGACCAGAGCCUUGAUUUAUGACUUUAUUAUGCUUACAGUGGGCAGAACAAGUAUUUGAUACACUGCCGAUUUUGCAGGUUAUCCUACUUACAAAGCAUGUAGAGGUCUGUAAUUUUUUAUCAUAGGUACACUUCAACUGUGAGAGA